RNAcentral lists this transfer RNA (72 nucleotides) under Fimbriiglobus ruber. It matches the Rfam family "tRNA". From Rfam's summary of the family: Transfer RNA (tRNA) molecules are approximately 80 nucleotides in length. Lineage: Bacteria; Pseudomonadati; Planctomycetota; Planctomycetia; Gemmatales; Gemmataceae. The record is from Rfam by way of RNAcentral.
GCGGGAGUAGCUCAGCGGUAGAGCAGUCGACCCAUAAUCUUCUGGUCGCCGGUUCGAGCCCGGCCUUCCGGG